Molecule: ribosomal RNA, 153 nt
Filed under: Lycium ruthenicum
Lineage: Eukaryota; Viridiplantae; Streptophyta; Magnoliopsida; Solanales; Solanaceae
Also listed under: 1 other name
Description: 5.8S ribosomal RNA
Rfam family: 5.8S ribosomal RNA
About the family: 5.8S ribosomal RNA (5.8S rRNA) is a component of the large subunit of the eukaryotic ribosome. It is transcribed by RNA polymerase I as part of the 45S precursor that also contains 18S and 28S rRNA. Functionally, it is thought that 5.8S rRNA may be involved in ribosome translocation.
Source: RNAcentral
AACUUUCAACAACGGAUCUCUUGGUUCUGGCAUCGAUGAAGAACGCAGCGAAAUGCGAUAAGUAGUGUGAAUUGCAGAAUUCAGUGAAUCAUCGAAUCUUUGAACGCACAUUGCGCCCUUUGGUAUUCCAAAGGGCAUGCCUGUUCGAGCGUC